Long non-coding RNA from Macadamia integrifolia, 2771 nucleotides. RefSeq lists it as uncharacterized. The transcript has 3 exons. NCBI's taxonomy places the organism in Eukaryota, Viridiplantae, Streptophyta, Magnoliopsida, Proteales, Proteaceae. The record is from RefSeq and is a predicted model, not a curated record.
GCCACUACUCUGAAAUCUCUGCUAUCAAAAAGCGACUGAGUCUUAUCUCAGAUCCGCCAUUCCUGUGCAAAGCUCGAGGGUGAAGCUUUCAUUGCAUCUCGAGGGAAAGCCAAGACCUUGAGACCUUGAGGAGGGGAAUCUCGGCUUAGUAGACUUAAUUCCUGUUGCAGAAACCCUAGUGUAAAUACACCUCCUGAUCGCCAUUGUUCUUCCUUCUUGAGGUGAUUUCUGCUUCUGCUUCUGCGUAUGUCUCUACUCUCUACGAAAUGUUGAAGUUUGUUGUUGUUGUGUUUGAAGAAAUUAGAGGAAUGAUGAUACUUUCAUCUGCUAUGCAAUCUUGGUUUAGAUUUUAAUGAGUUCUCUUUCGAUCUGAGCUUGAAAGCCUCAUCGUAAGAAGACCUAGACGAUUUUGACGGAAAUACACAGUCCUUCGAGGUUCGAGCUUGCAUUUCGUUGAUAUCUGAGUUUCUUGGAGCUCCUUUCAAUCCCUGAGCUUUGGAGUAGCAGUAAUCAACUGAGGUUUUUCCCUUGACGUCCACGUCUUCAGGUUCAUAUUUUCUGCUUGAGAAUCGAUCAUUUCACUGAAGUUUAAGCCUUUGAUCUAUGCUGUAGCCUGGUGAGCUGGGCCUUCCUUUACUUCGGCCUUUCUCUCUUAUGGUUUACAGUGUUUUAGAGGCUAAAUCUGGAAUAACGACUUUUCUUGAACCGGACAUCCUUGACUAGCCUGGUGGUAUCACUGAUACAUCCAAAUGGAGACGCUGGUUGUUGUUGCGCAGCAUCGGAAUCAAUACUACAGCAGUGGCAAGUCAAGUUUUCAUGAUGGAUUUAGUUCUUCUCCAUCCAGAAGCUUCAGGGAGAUCAAUUGUAGAGCUUUUCAAUCUGAAGUAGGUUUUAUACCUACCCCAUUGAAGCCCUCUAAUAGUCCUGCUGCGGCUAGUAAGGCGUGCUCUUCCCCUCGAACCCCCGCCAGUGUUAACCAUCGCAGGGAAGAUGAUAAGCACUUUAACAGUAAUGGGAAAGCUAGUGUAGUGCCUAUUAACAUUGAGGCCAGAAAGGUUGAAAGGUCUUUUAGCGAUGACCUCUCUUUCUCUGAACUCUGGGCAGGGCCAACUUAUUCGAACUCACCUCCUCCCAGUUCAUUGCCGAUCCCUAAAUUUUCACUCCUUCAAAAGCGAAGUGUAUCACUUGAUGUGCCUGCUUCAGUAUCGCCUUUAGCAAUGCAUCCCAUUGCUAAGUCUGCUCCGCCUUCACCCACAAGGGAACCAUACUCUUCUUCAAGAGGUUUCUUUCUAAGCACUGACUCAGCAACCAGAGACCUUCGUCGGAUCCUCCAUCUGGAUAUGAGUGAUGAAUGACGAUGGAGGUUCUGAACCCUGUAAAUAAACCAAUUCUGCAGCUUGUGAUGGUGUUAUUUUGUACAUAGAGUAGGUAACUUACCCUGUAUUUCUAGUCUCUGCAACUUCAUUAUGGCUUCUGCAUAGGUGAUGGAAAGAGAACUGUCAGUGGCUGAUUUCUACAACAAUCUCCAGACUUAGCUGCAACAAUUGAUGUAUGUGGGUGUGAUUUCAAUCAUGGGUCUCUCUUAAACAGAGUUGAGAGCAGUGAUAUCUGGGGUUUUUCAGAAAUGGGGCAGCUGCUACAUUCAUGUUGUCUCAAAGAAGUGAAUUUAUGCUUAAGAUGUGAUUCUUGAAAGGUCCCUCGGCUGACUUACCCUGUAUUGUUGUUGCGGAACAUUUGUUUAAGGAUGCAGAUCAUCAGAAACUUCCUUUCUACUUAUCGGGGGCACUAUAACAUUGUCCUUGAGAGGCGAAUUUCACAAUGUCAAUGCUUUUAACUGAUUUCUUCGAUGAAUUAGGUUAGGAAUUUCUUGUUUUCUGUACUAUGUUAAUCCUCUAGGGUUAUUUCUUCUAGUGUUUCUGGUGGAACUCUCUCAAGUUCAGUUGUUUUCGUUACCUUCUCUAUUAAAGUUUGUCUAUUUUUGUCUAUUUCCCUUUGCUCUGUCAUAUAUGAUUCUUUUCAUUCUUCCUCUUAGAAUGUCUCCAGAAACUUCUGACUACAUGAUACACAUGUAAUUCCUGCUUAGUCUCUUCUUCUUUUUAGUCCUGGUUUUCCUGAAUUGGUUGCUUAGAUGGUAGUUGAUGCUCCUUUGUUGUCUCUUCGAUAAACUUAGUCCAACAUCCUGCAUUAGUUGCCCAGAUGAUAGAGUUCAAUCUCCUUUCAUUUUUACUGUUUUCUUUUCACUUCUAAACUCUUCUUCCCCUUACCCUCUUUUCAGGGUUUUUAUGAUGGAAAGUGGGGGACAGGAAGAAGAUUUGUUUUUCUGCCUCUUCUGCUUUCUAGUCUGUAGGGUUAAUGUGUGUCCUUUUGUGCCAUCCUUCUGUAAUUCCUUUUGAUCCUCAUGUUCCCAUGAGUAGCUGUAACUGCUUCUAUUAGGUUUGUCCCUGCGAAAGUCAUCACUCUUUGAAGAUUUCUGACUAUAAUCGGCUUCUCACAAGUGCUGACCCAGUGAGGGAGCCAAUGGAAGAAGGAUAAUCACGUGGCUGGUUUCUUGAUUAAGCAUGAUAUGUUUUUUUUCUUUAGAUAGUGUUAUCCAGAUACCACAAGCAGUAUCAAUUUGUAAUAAAUACUCAGUUGUGACUUGAGUUUGAUGGCUAGAAACAAUUUUCCAUAUGAUGGAUGGGUGAUCCCCAUAAUCUUAGUGUAAGUUACUCUACUAGCUGAUGCCCUUCACCAAGGUUAGUGAAAAAUUCAUGAGUGGCUCCUUUCACAUA